CGAGGUCGUGGGGCCGAUGGCCGCGGCCAACGGGAUUGGACGACUGAUUAUUGGACAGAAUGGCGUCUUGUCGACACCUGCGGUCUCCUGCAUUAUCAGGAAGAUCAAGGCAGCUGGUGGAAUCAUUCUAACAGCCAGCCACUGCCCUGGAGGACCAGGGGGAGAGUUUGGAGUGAAGUUUAAUGUUGCCAAUGGAGGGCAGACUUCUUGGAGGAAGUGAAAUUUGAACUGCGAUGUGAAGAAUGAGCAGGAGUUAGUGAGGUGAAGAUGAGAGAAGGAGUGUUGCAAACACAGGUCAGUCUGUGCAAAGGCCCUGAGACACAAGGAGCCUAGAACCACGGCUCGAAGACAACCGUCUGGCUGGGGCAUGGCUCGUCUUACAGAUCACAUUAAGGAACAAAUAAUUAUGUUAAGAGUUAUGGGCUGCCAUUAAGGAUUUGGAUAAGAGAGUCUUACAAUCACAUCUGUGUUUUCUAAAGGCCUGACACUGAUUGGUACAUGGAGUACAGCCUGAAGGGAACAAGACUUGUUAGAAAGGAAGCUAUUGGCUGGGUGUGGUGGCUUGUGCCUAUAAUCCCAGCACUUUGGGAAGCU
RNAcentral lists this long non-coding RNA (594 nucleotides) under Homo sapiens (human). RNAcentral describes it as "HSALNT0350764". The record is from RNAcentral. Lineage: Eukaryota; Metazoa; Chordata; Mammalia; Primates; Hominidae.